RNAcentral lists this ribosomal RNA (467 nucleotides) under uncultured bacterium. RNAcentral's name for it is "partial 16S ribosomal RNA". It matches the Rfam family "Bacterial small subunit ribosomal RNA", at positions 29 to 507 of the family's 1533-position model. The record is from RNAcentral.
ACGAACGCUGGCGGCGUGCUUAACCCCUGCAAGUCGCACGGAAAGGCCCUGCUUUUGUGGGGUGCUCGAGUGGCGAACGGGUGAGUAGCACGUGAGUAACCUGCCCUUGACUUUGGGAUAACUUCAGGAAACUGGGGCUAAUACCGGAUAGGAGCUCCUGCUGCAUGGUGGGGGUUGGAAAGUUUCGGCGGUUGGGGAUGGACUCGCGGCUUAUCAGCUUGUUGGUGGGGUAGUGGCUUACCAAGGCUUUGACGGGUAGCCGGCCUGAGAGGGUGACCGGCCACAUUGGGACUGAGAUACGGCCCAGACUCCUACGGGAGGCAGCAGUGGGGAAUAUUGCACAAUGGGCGGAAGCCUGAUGCAGCAACGCCGCGUGCGGGAUGACGGCCUUCGGGUUGUAAACCGCUUUCGCCUGUGACGAAGCGUGAGUGACGGUAAUGGGUAAAGAAGCACCGGCUAACUACGUG